UGCUUCUCUAGGCUAUAAAAUAAAAAUUGAAUCAUAAAGUGAAGAUUAGCAUUGCCCUUGCAUAAGGAUAAUACACACAUUUGUGAAGCAUUUUU
Monodelphis domestica (gray short-tailed opossum) is the source of this 95-nucleotide small nuclear RNA. NCBI's taxonomy places the organism in Eukaryota, Metazoa, Chordata, Mammalia, Didelphimorphia, Didelphidae. The record is from Ensembl.